Molecule: long non-coding RNA, 1577 nt
Filed under: Parus major (Great Tit)
Lineage: Eukaryota; Metazoa; Chordata; Aves; Passeriformes; Paridae
Description: lncRNA (ENSPMJG00000015967.1)
Source: RNAcentral
CCUCCCCUUUUCCCCUUUUUUCCCCUUUUUCCCCCUUUUUUCCUCUUUUUCCCCUUUUCCCCUUUCCUUUUCCCCCUUUUCCCUUUUUUUCCCCUAUUUUUCCUUUCCCCCUUUUUUCCUCUUUUCCCCUUUUUCCUCUUUUCCCCUUUUCCCUUUUUUCCCCCAUUUUCCCCCCAUUUUUCCCCCUUCCCCCCCUCCCGGACCCCCAAACGCCGCUCCGGGGGCAGAACAGAAACCUCCAGCGCCGCUUUUCACUCCCCUUUUUUAUCCGUUUUAUCUUAAUCAGAUAAGAAAAUACAAACAACCGUGGGGCUACAAACAGCUCUGAAAUCGGAAUAAAAACAGCCCGGUCCCCAUUGUCCCCUCCGUGUCCCCAAAGUGUCCCCGAGGGUCCCCAAAGUGUCCCCAAAGUGUCCCCCGGGGGUGGCAGCUAGCGCCGGGGAAAGGCCGGGAAAACCGGGAAGGAAUUCCCGAAGGAAGCGGGGAACGGAGCCACCAAGGGGCUGGGGAAGGCCGGGAUGAGCAGAGGAGCCCCCCGGGAUUUUGGGGGCUCCGCGGGGGUCCCGAAGCCGCCGGGGAAGCGCAGAGGGGAUCCCCGGAGAGCCGGAGCGGCCACCACGGCUCGGGGUUUGGGCAGCCCCCGGUGGCCUCCGGGCGAGCGGAUCCGCCGCUCCCCGCCCUCCUUGGCCAAGGGGGACACGGAGCGUGACUCGGGCGUGGGGCCGAAGCUUUCCUCGUCUUCCUCAUCCUCAUCCUCCUCCUCCUCCUCCUCGUGGUGGCCGCUCCCGGGGGGGACCCAGCAGCCCCGCACCGCCGCCCGCUUCUCCCACGGCCGCCCCGCUCUGCCCCGCGCCUCUUGCGGCUGCUCGGGCUCCUCCGGCCGCCCAGGGAAGGUGGAAGGCGGCUCCAAAAAAUCCUUGAGGCUGGAGAAAUCCCCCCAGAGCGGGGGGCAGCCGGGCUGCAGCCCCUCGCUGCGGUAGGCGUGGAAGUAACCGGUGAAGACGGGGGUGCCCGGGGUGUCUCCGCCGCCCGGGGAUGCGCUGCGGGCCGGGGCCGCCUCCUCCUUCCCCCCGCUCGGGCUUCCCGAAGGCUCCGGGGGCUCGGGGAGGCUCUGCCCGCUCAGGGGGGGCUCCGGGCCGGGGUCGCUCGGGGCCCGCCGGCCCUCGGGGCUGUGGCGUUGGUGGCAGUGCGAGGACUCGGCUUUGCUCACCUGCGCCAGCAGCUUCUUCUUGGCCAGCGGGGACAUGAUGGGAUGGUUCCCUUUGGAGUAGAAGCUGGAGAAGAGGCGCUUGUAGGUCUCGCUGUGGGUCCGGCAGGGGCUGGGAGAGCCCCCCGAGGGGUUGGGGGCCGGGUUGGAGGGGCUGGAGCGUCCGUCUGUCCCCCGGGCCGGCUCCGCCGCUUCCUCCGCCUCCGGCUGCGCCUUGUCCGGAGCGAGCUGCGAGCGGAGGGGGUCGGGCUGAGCCCAGGGGGUCGGGCUGAGCUCAGGGGGUCGGGCUGUGAGCUCAGGGGGUCGGGCUGUGAGCUCAGGGGGUCGGGCUGUGAGCUCAGGGGGUCGGGCUGAGCCCAGGGGGUCGGGC